This 169-nucleotide unclassified non-coding RNA is filed under the name soil metagenome. RNAcentral's name for it is "partial contains 5.8S ribosomal RNA, internal transcribed spacer 2, and large subunit ribosomal RNA". The record is from RNAcentral.
AAGACUAUAGACCUGCGGAGUACCUGCGGAGGGAUCAUUAGUGAACGCCCUCACGGGCUUAUAACUGUUCCAAACCUCUGUGAACCGUGCCCUUCGGGGCUAUUUUACAAACAUGGUGUAAUGAACGUCAUAUAUCAUAACAAAACAAAACUUUCAACAAUGGAUCUCU